Long non-coding RNA from Equus caballus (horse), 3113 nucleotides. The record is from Ensembl. NCBI's taxonomy places the organism in Eukaryota, Metazoa, Chordata, Mammalia, Perissodactyla, Equidae.
CUUGGACACCUCCUGUCUUUAAAAGCAAUUCACAAAAGAGAACUCCAGAAAUAUUUUGAGAAGUGGCUGCUGCAUUAAAAUACAGGACUCAGACAUGGCCUUCCUUUGGGGAACAUGAACAGAUCCUGUUGGAGCUGCAGCCCUAAUGACUUGCACACUUGGAACCGAGGGCUGGCAGGGUGGACAGCCAAGGAGAUGGAGCUCACCCCGUGGACCCCGGAGCUGACAGAAGCGAGGUCAGCAGCGCUGGCUCUGGAGAGACCUUGGAGACCGCCUAGCCAGCAGUUCUCCACCCUGGCUGCACCUAGACUCACCUGGGAGCUUUAAAAAAGAUACCCGUGUCUGAUUCCACCCCGGAAGCUUACUUGAACUGUCUCGGCUACACAAAAUCUGUUUUGGAGACAACUCAUCAAAUUCAACUGGAUGUUUUAAUUUCUGUAACUCUCUUCCAAAAGGAAAUCUAAGCUUUUGUUGAACACCUAGACGGAUGCCAUUUCAUUUUUGGAAACUUCCAGGAGUUCCCUGGUUACCGUGUCCCAGAUGGCCAAGGGAGGGGCUGCCAUUCAGGAUCCCGAACCUGGCGUUCCGGCCAGAACUGAACACUUCUCUGGGCGUACAGAGAGAAGGAACCCUUCCUCGCAUUUGGCUCUCCCUGGGCCUCACCACAUGAGCAGCAGAGCUGUGAAGACAGCAGGAAGGGCCCUUGGCUGCCACUGUAAAUAUUAUCAUUGCCUUUGGUAUGCAGAAAAGCAAGAGGAGCAGCAUUUGCUGCUUCCAGGUGGCAGACGGACAAAACUGAGAGCAGAGGGGGAGAAGCUGGAAGGGUGUCUGGGAAAAAAAGAGAUCAAUAAAACCUCACUAGUGUGCAAUAUUUACUAUAAACAGCCCAAGGUUGUUUGGGGUAUGGAAAACUGUCAACAUAGAUCAGUUCUUCCUCAGUGACUGUGGGAGCAGGUGUUCCAGAAAGAAGAAUGAAGAUGGCAGCCGUGGUGGGAUCAAUGAUCAGACUCUGAUUACAGCGAAGUCACUGAAUGUUAAUGUGGACCGGCAGCCAGUGCCACAGCGCGCAGGGCCCCCUGCCAUUUUUAAAACACACAUUUCAAGAUUCUGGACUGCCGCAAUGUGUAAAUACUUUCAGACCGUGGACUAUUUCCUCAAUUCUUCAGCAGAAUUUUUCCAAAGUACACAAAUGUUAGUAAUGAAGCUAGUUUGGGGCCAAGAAAACUUAACUGACAAAAAGUGCAGAAAGGCCUGGGUAAGACAAAAAAGGCAGGCAUACUUUGCUCUGUAACGUCUCAAGAUGCUCAGAGAAGUGACUAGAAAUGCUUCUCCAUGCAGCUUUUUGCAAAAGCAUUUGAGAGAGCCUCUUUCUUAACAGUUAAGCUCGUGGAGGAUGAAGGACCUUUCUGGCAAUUUAGGGUGAACUUUCUUCCUCUCCUUUCUCCCCUACUCUAUCUGCUUUUGAAUGACAGACUAACCUGGAUCCUGAAGCCAGAUUUAAAAUUCCUAGAAUUUUAAUUUGAUCUCUUACUGUUCGAUAAUGAAAGAACAAUAUUUCUUUAGAGGUGAGUGCCCUGUGCUGGAAGCUGCCCUGGGGUUGGGGGAAAAGCAGAGUCUUCAGGGCCCAGGGGAAGAGAAUAAAACUCAAAGGGAAAACAAUUGGGGUUAUAGUUGGGGAGUUAGACAGUAGUAACAAUUGUCUUUUGCUUGCCUAGAAAGUUUUUCCUAACUCCUUAAUUCCAGAAACAUGCCGUGUUGCCCUGACCAUGGGGUAAGUGUGUAUUCCAGACCUGGCUGAUCACUAUAUGCCAUCUUCCUGACAACUGGGAUCAGUUCAAGGGUUGGGCCCAUGCCGCAAACAAGGCCUCGCUGAGGUCUGGUAUAUAAACAUGAAGUAAGCGUCCAUGAUUGCUAAAUGGGAGGAUAUGAAUUUGAGUCUCUUGGAAACCAUGUUAUCACCUGCCACAUGGAGAAUUAAAAUAAAGCCAAGAGACAGGCGGAUGGAUGGCUGCAUGAAUGAAGAGAGAAAGAGUCCCGCUAGCUUGGAGUCAACCGACUCUCUCUCCUUGCAGCCCAGGUGGAAUCUAUCAGCAAGUGCUUUCAUCUUCCCCUUUGAAAUAGAACCAGAUCCUGAAGAUGUGAUGACAUCUCAUUAUCCCCGCCAUGACAACCUUAGUUCCACCAGCACAGUGUCUCCCCUGGAAAAUUACAGUAGCCUUUACCUGUCCUCCAGCUCCUGCCUCGCCCCUACUCAAUUGAUUUUCCAGACAGGAAAUAGGUCAUUUGGUUGUUUGCUCGCACAAAGCUUUAAAAUAUUAAUUACAUCUUGUCAUUUGUCCACUCCAACCCUCCAAAAGAUUCUCGUCUCACUCAGAGUAAAGCCAGAGUCUUAGGAUGGUUUACUUUCCAUCCUGCUGUCCCUUCCUUCAAGGAGUUCAUCGGCUUCCUCACUGCUCCUGAACAGUUCUCCGUCCUCUGACACGGCUAUCUUUUUAUUUUUGCAUGCUAUAUAUUCAGCUCUCCUUUUUUUAUUGUUGUCCUUUUCAUUGCUGUAUCCCACACAUCCAGUGGCCCCUGGAACAUAGCAUGCACCAUGAAUUCCAAUUCUGGCCAUCAAGGCGCUGAUUCCCUGUCUCUUCCCUUCAUUGUGUCAGCCAUCUUGGAGGCCUUCCCAGUUACCUGAGCCUACAAAUUCCCCUUUCUUACUUAAGCUAGUUUAAGUUGUGUUGGAGUGAUGCCAUUUUUAAACCUGGAAAUUUAGGACAGAGCUGAAAAUCUCUAAGGAUGAAAUAAAUUGAUUUCCCCCCAAGCGUUUGAUGUUGGCUCAACCUAAAUACUCUAAAGUUGCUAAUAGUUGAACCCCCCCCCAAAAGCUUAGAGGUUAUUCAUAUUUUUCAUAAUAUCAUUUCUUCUUAAACAGUGUGCUCUUAAAAUUUUUGCUACAUUCUUAAAAGUGAGUCUUAGCGUGUCUUAGGGUGAGCAUUCUUCUACAGGAAUUUAUGUCUGAAAUCAAACCUAAUUCAAUGAGCAAAUGGGGUUCAAUUUAGAAAACAUCUGUGUAUGGUCAACUUUUCAGAUAGGGAACUCUUUUGUGAAAUGAGAAAACACUGUGG